AAUAAAGUAAGCUAAAUAAAGCUAGUGGGUUCAUACCCCAAAUAUGAGUUAAAAAUUCCUUUAUUA
Molecule: transfer RNA, 66 nt
Filed under: Dermacentor nitens
Lineage: Eukaryota; Metazoa; Arthropoda; Arachnida; Ixodida; Ixodidae
Description: tRNA-Met
Source: RNAcentral